UGGGGAAUUGUUCGCAAUGGGCGCAAGCCUGACGACGCAACGCCGCGUGGAGGACGAAGACCUUCGGGUCGUAAACUCCUUUCGAUCGAGACGAAUGGCCUCUGGGUAAACAACCUGGAGGAAUGACGGUACCGAGAGAAGAAGCCCCGGCUAACUCCGUGCCAGCAGCCGCGGUAAUACGGGGGGGGCAAGCGUUGUUCGGAAUUACUGGGCGUAAAGGGCUCGUAGGUGGCCAACUAAGUCAGACGUGAAAUCCCUCGGCUUAACCGGGGAACUGCGUCUGAUACUGGAUGGCUUGAGAUUGGGAGAGGGAUGCGGAAUUCCAGGUGUAGCGGUGAAAUGCGUAGAUAUCUGGAGGAACACCGGUGGCGAAGGCGGCAUCCUGGACCAACACUGACACUGAGGAGCGAAAGCCAGGGGAGCAAACGG
Molecule: ribosomal RNA, 429 nt
Filed under: uncultured bacterium
Lineage: Bacteria
Description: bacterial SSU rRNA
Rfam family: Bacterial small subunit ribosomal RNA
Source: RNAcentral